CAAUAGCGUAUAUUAAAGUUGUUGCAGUUAAAAAGCUCGUAGUUGGAUUUCGGGGCAGCCUGGCUGGUCCGCCGCAAGGCGAGUACUGGUCAGCCGCCCUUCCUCUCGAAAGCCCCGACUGCUCUUUAUUGCAGUGGUCGGGUAGUUCGGGACGUUUACUUUGAAAAAAUUAGAGCGUUCAAGGCAGGCCUACGCCUGAAUACAUUAGCAUGGAAUAAUGGAAGAGGACCUCGGUCCUAUUUUGUUGGUUUCCAGGACCGAAGUAAUGAUUAAGAGGGACAGUUGGGGGCAUUCGUAUUUAAUUGUCAGAGGUGAAAUUCUCGGAUUUAUGAAAGACGAACAACUGCGAAAGCAUUUGCCAAGGAUGUUUUCAUUAA
Molecule: ribosomal RNA, 377 nt
Filed under: uncultured eukaryote
Lineage: Eukaryota
Description: partial 18S ribosomal RNA
Rfam family: Eukaryotic small subunit ribosomal RNA
Source: RNAcentral